UACGUAGGUGGCAAGCGUUGUCCGGAUUUACUGGGCGUAAAGAGCGCGCGGGCGGCUGGUCAAGUCCGAUGUGAAAUCUCCCGGCUCAACUGGGAAACUGCAUCGGAAACUGAUCGGCUUGAAGGUGGGAGAGGGUAGUGGAAUUCCCGGUGUAGUGGUGAAAUGCGUAGAUAUCGGGAGGAACACCAGUGGCGAAGGCGACUACCUGGCCCACUCUUGACGCUGAGGCGCGAAAGCUAGGGGAGCGAACGGG
Molecule: ribosomal RNA, 253 nt
Filed under: uncultured bacterium
Lineage: Bacteria
Description: partial 16S ribosomal RNA
Rfam family: Bacterial small subunit ribosomal RNA
Source: RNAcentral